Molecule: long non-coding RNA, 301 nt
Filed under: Lathyrus oleraceus (garden pea)
Lineage: Eukaryota; Viridiplantae; Streptophyta; Magnoliopsida; Fabales; Fabaceae
Description: Pisum sativum (pea) long non-coding RNA (PSAT_LNC024022)
Source: RNAcentral
CAUUUCAGUAUAAGUCCUCAGUAGUUUAUUCCAACAGUCAGCUUUGGCCUAUGCAUCCUCUACGUAGGGGACCGAUGAACAUAAGUGAAUGAUCCAGUGAAAUAAAUAAAAUAAAAGAAAGCAAAAAGGGAACUCUGGUAUAGGUGACCCUCACAAAGUCAUUUAAACCAAAAAGAUUGUAAAAAUUUGCUACAAAAGAAAAAGAAAAAGAAAAGCUCACCCGCUGUUAGUUGGUUCAGAGGUAUCUGGCACUGAACUCGGUAGGGAGGAUUACAAUCCGAUCCCCCACAAAUGUAGUUGG